This 448-nucleotide ribosomal RNA is filed under the name uncultured bacterium. RNAcentral's name for it is "bacterial SSU rRNA". It matches the Rfam family "Bacterial small subunit ribosomal RNA", at positions 31 to 506 of the family's 1533-position model. The record is from RNAcentral.
AAGAACGCUGGCGGCAUGCUUAACACAUGCAAGUCGAACGAAUAAUUCUCUAGCUUGCUAGAGAGCCUAUUAGUGGCAAACGGGUGAGUAACACGUAGGAAUUUACCUUAUAGUACGGAAUAACAAUUGGAAACGAUUGCUAAUACCGUAUACGCUCUUCGGAGGAAAGAUUUAUCGCUAUAAGAUAAGCCUGCGGUAGAUUAGGUAGUUGGUAGGGUAAUGGCCUACCAAGCCGACGAUCUAUAGCUGGUCUGAGAGGACGAUCAGCCACACUGGAACUUAGACACGGUCCAGACUCCUACGGGAGGCAGCAGUGGGGAAUAUUGGACAAUGGGCGAAAGCCUGAUCCAGCAAUGCCGCGUGAAUGAUGAAGGCCUUAGGGUUGUAAAGUUCUUUUAGUGGGGAAGAAAAUGACGGUACCCACAGAAAAAGCUCCGGCUAACUUCGU